Triticum urartu is the source of this 1480-nucleotide non-coding RNA. The record is from RefSeq and is a predicted model, not a curated record. Lineage: Eukaryota; Viridiplantae; Streptophyta; Magnoliopsida; Poales; Poaceae.
AUCUGCUCUGAGGACACCCUGCUCGACGAUGCUCCUCUUCGCUAGCAUCUCCAUUGCAUGAUAGGGGGAGAGUUCUUGUACUCAGAGCAGCUGUUGAUCUGCAGCAACUCUAGAAGUAGGAUUUAGGAUAAUCAUAGUUUCAGUUUGCCAAGCAGGGAGUAUAAUUUAACUGGAAAUCAACCAACUAUUGCUUUGAACUGGAGUAUAAUUACUGAAGCGGGUCGAAGUGGGACGAUUUGGUUCGGUGGUCAACGACGGCUGCGCGGGAUGCAGUAUGGUAUGGCUUGAGCAUCUCGAGGAGGGGCUCUCUCUGCAAGGCAUCCUCUACGCCACGGCGGAGGUGUUCGAGUAGUCUGUCCCGGGGCUGCGCGUGGAGCACGUCGACGUCUCCGUCUUGCCAUUGCUCAGCACCGCCCUGCCGGCUGGGGUUCUUAUUUGCCAUCGAGGCCUUCCGCAACUGGGACCAUGGUGCCUGAUAGCUUCCUCUCCGGCUGGAUCGGCAGUCUAUCCACCCAAACAAGAGGGUCCUCAUGGAGAGUAUCCACAAGUCCGAGGCUGAGAAGGAAAGAGAGAAGACCCUCUCUGACCAGUUUGAGGCUUCAGUUUGAGGCCAAGCGUGCUAAGAGCAAGGCUAGCUAGCAGGGAGAGGAAUAUUGCGAGGAGGCAGGAGAGAUUGGCUCAGGUAAGAUGACUUUCACUUGAGCCCUGUCUAUUUCCUCACAUAGUUUGAUUUGUGCUGCAUUAUAUUGGUACUGAAAUACAUAAUGCGUGCACAUGUCUUCUGUUGGAUGUUUCAGAGAUGCUUAUGCAGGGUUUCUUUAAUCAUUUUGGUUCAUGGUACCAGCUAAUGAAAUUUACGUGCUCUGAUGAUGAAUUCGUGCCAUGUCGAGUUGGAUUGGCGGUGGCGUAUUUUUCCUCUUGUAGUCAAAUUAGUGAGAUGCUUCGUUCUCUUCUUUAUGUGAACGUACAUGUAUGACCAGUGUAAUUAGGUGCAGUAGUUUUGGUCAAUGUCAAAGCAGAAGAGAGCUACAUGUAUGACCAGUAUUGAAUCACGGCGAGAGAGUAAUGUAGCUUCGUCCCUCCCUGAUGCUGCUAAUGCAAGAUGCAUAGGAAUCUUAUUCAAUAUCAAAAAUUGACAUACCGUGCAAUCAUGUCUAAUGUCUUUCAUUAAAUCUCCGCGGAGGUGCCGGCCGGCUGGUACAUAUGUCAGUGCAUCAUCUAUCUCAGACUCUCAGUCACAGCUAUCUAAUUGGUGUAUAUUCAUCUCCAAUUACAGCCUCAUAAUUUUUUGGACAUUCAUUUACAGCCCGAUCUACUUGGAUGUGCAGACCUGGGAGUUGGAACAAUUCACCAAGAGAAGCCAGUUCGUGUAUAACAGAAUGGGUGGAAUUUAUCAUGAGAUCCUACCCAAAUCCGAGUACUUCUCCAAGGCACUGUACACCUUCCAUUUCGCUCAAAACAAUCUCUUUGUAGGCUACUU